UAAGGAAUCUUCCACAAUGGGCGAAAGCCUGAUGGAGCAACGCCGCGUGCAGGAUGAAGGCCCUCGGGUCGUAAACUGCUUUUAUAAGUGAAGAAUAUGACGGUAACUUAUGAAUAAGCACCGGCUAACUACGUGCCAGCAGCCGCGGUCAUACGUAGGGUGCAAGCAUUAUCCGGAGUGACUGGGCGUAAAGAGUUGCGUAGGUGGUUUAUUAAGUGAAUAGUGAAAGCUGGAGGCUCAACCUUACAGACUAUUAUUCAAACUGGUAAACUCGAGAGUGGUAGAGGUAACUGGAAUUUCUUGUGUAGGAGUGAAAUCCGUAGAUAUAAGAAGGAACACCAAUGGCGUAGGCAGGUUACUGGACCAUCUCUGACACUGAGGCACGAAAGCGUGGGGAGCGAACCGG
Molecule: ribosomal RNA, 406 nt
Filed under: uncultured bacterium
Lineage: Bacteria
Description: bacterial SSU rRNA
Rfam family: Bacterial small subunit ribosomal RNA
Source: RNAcentral